GACGAACGCUGGCGGCGCGCCUAACACAUGCAUGUCGAGCGGAACACCCAGAGGAACUUCUUCGGAAGGGAAUUUGGAAUGUUUAGCGGCGGAUGGGUGAGUAACACGUGAGUAAUCUGCCCUUGAGUGGGGGAUAACAUCUGGAAACGGAUGCUAAUACCGCAUAAAGUACAGUUGUGGCAUCACAGGCUGUACCAAAGAUUUAUCGCUCUAGGAUGAGCUCGCGCCUGAUUAGCUAGUUGGUAAGGUAAUGGCUUACCAAGGCAACGAUCAGUAGCCGGACUGAGAGGUUGAACGGCCACAUUGGGACUGAGACACGGCCCAGACUCCUACGGGAGGCAGCAGUGGGGAAUAUUGCACAAUGGAGGAAACUCUGAUGCAGCGACGCCGCGUGGGCGAGGACGGUUUUCGGACUGUAAAGCCCUGUCNGUGGGGACGAAGAAAGUGACGGUACCCACAGAGGAAGCCACGGCUAACUACGUGCCAGCCGCCGCC
RNAcentral lists this ribosomal RNA (495 nucleotides) under uncultured Oscillospiraceae bacterium. Its description in RNAcentral is "bacterial SSU rRNA". It matches the Rfam family "Bacterial small subunit ribosomal RNA", at positions 28 to 519 of the family's 1533-position model. Lineage: Bacteria; Bacillati; Bacillota; Clostridia; Eubacteriales; Oscillospiraceae. The record is from RNAcentral.